UAGGGAAUCUUCGGCAAUGGGGGGAACCCUGACCGAGCAACGCCGCGUGAGUGAAGAAGGUUUUCGGAUCGUAAAGCUCUGUUGUUAAGGAAGAACGAGUGUGAGAAUGGAAAGUUCAUGCUGUGACGGUACUUAACCAGAAAGGGACGGCUAACUACGUGCCAGCAGCCGCGGUAAUACGUAGGUCCCGAGCGUUGUCCGGAUUUAUUGGGCGUAAAGCGAGCGCAGGCGGUUAGAAAAGUCUGAAGUGAAAGGCAGUGGCUCAACCAUUGUAGGCUUUGGAAACUGUUUAACGUGAGUGCAGAAGGGGAGAGUGGAAUUCCAUGUGUAGCGGUGAUAUGCGUAGAUAUAUGGAGGAACACCGGUGGCGAAAGCGGCUCUCUGGUCUGUAACUGACGCUGAGGCUCGAAAGCGUGGGGAGCGAACAGG
RNAcentral lists this ribosomal RNA (429 nucleotides) under Verrucomicrobiota bacterium. RNAcentral describes it as "Verrucomicrobia bacterium partial 16S ribosomal RNA". It matches the Rfam family "Bacterial small subunit ribosomal RNA", at positions 355 to 776 of the family's 1533-position model. Lineage: Bacteria; Pseudomonadati; Verrucomicrobiota. The record is from RNAcentral.